Molecule: ribosomal RNA, 591 nt
Filed under: uncultured bacterium
Lineage: Bacteria
Description: bacterial SSU rRNA
Rfam family: Bacterial small subunit ribosomal RNA
Source: RNAcentral
GGAAGUUUUCGGAUGGAAGCGGAUAUGACUUAGCGGCGGACGGGUGAGUAACGCGUGGAUAACCUGCCUCAUACAGGGGGAUAACAGUUAGAAAUGACUGCUAAUACCGCAUAAGCGCACAGGACCGCAUGGUCUGGUGUGAAAAACUCCGGUGGUAUGGGAUGGAUCCGCGUCUGAUUAGCUGGUUGGUGAGGUAACGGCCCACCAAGGCGACGAUCAGUAGCCGACCUGAGAGGGUGGCCGGCCACAUUGGGACUGAGACACGGCCCAAACUCCUACGGGAGGCAGCAGUGGGGAAUAUUGCACAAUGGGGGAAACCCUGAUGCAGCAACGCCGCGUGAGUGAAGAAGUAUUUCGGUAUGUAAAGCUCUAUCAGCGGGGAAGAAGAAAGACGGUACCUGACUAAGAAGCCCCGGCUAACUACGUGCCAGCAGCCGCGGUAAUACGUAGGGGGCAAGCGUUAUCCGGAUUUACUGGGUGUAAAGGGAGCGUAGACGGCUGUGCAAGUCUGAAGUGAAAGCCCGUGGCUCAACCGCGGAACUGCUUUGGAAACUGUAUAGCUUGAGUACUGGAGAGGCAGGCGGAAUUCCU